RNAcentral lists this transfer RNA (69 nucleotides) under Dactylopsila trivirgata (striped possum). RNAcentral describes it as "tRNA-Ser". It matches the Rfam family "tRNA". Rfam says of the family: Transfer RNA (tRNA) molecules are approximately 80 nucleotides in length. Their secondary structure includes four short double-helical elements and three loops (D, anti-codon, and T loops). The record is from RNAcentral. Lineage: Eukaryota; Metazoa; Chordata; Mammalia; Diprotodontia; Petauridae.
GAGAAAGUCAUAGGGGUUAUGAAAUUGACUUGAAAUCGAUUUUAGAGGGUUCGAUUCCUUCCUUUCUUG